UCAGAAAUUGUGGGAAUGGGCUGAUUGGGAAGCAAUGAAAUCAUCUCAAGUGAUUGUGCGUAAUUUUCUUCCCAAUUCCGCCCAUUCCUAUGAUUUCUGA
Molecule: microRNA precursor, 100 nt
Filed under: Vigna unguiculata (cowpea)
Lineage: Eukaryota; Viridiplantae; Streptophyta; Magnoliopsida; Fabales; Fabaceae
Description: miR482 stem-loop (vun-MIR482)
Gene: vun-MIR482
Source: miRBase by way of RNAcentral